RNAcentral lists this ribosomal RNA (459 nucleotides) under uncultured bacterium. Its description in RNAcentral is "partial 16S ribosomal RNA". It matches the Rfam family "Bacterial small subunit ribosomal RNA", at positions 338 to 795 of the family's 1533-position model. The record is from RNAcentral.
CCUACGGGAGGCAGCAGGGAGGAAUAGUGGACAAUGGGAGAGAUCCUGAACGAGCCAAGCAGCGUGAGGGAAGAAGGCCCUAUGGGUGGUAAACCUCUGUUGUCGGAGAACAAAACCCGGGACGUGUACCGGACUGCGUGUACCUGAAGAAAAAGCAUCGGGUAACUCCGUGCCAGCAGCCGCGGUAAUACGGAGGAUGCGAGCGUUAUCCGGAUUUAUUGGGUUUAAAGGGUGCGUAGGCGGUCCGUUAAGUCAGCGGUAAAAGUGCGGGGCUCAACCCCGGCGAGCCGUUGAAACUGGCAGACUUGAGUUGGCGAGAAGUACGCGGAAUGCGCGGUGUAGCGGUGAAAUGCAUAGAUAUCGCGCAGAACUCCGAUUGCGAAGGCAGCGUACCGGCGCCAGACUGACGCUGAGGCACGAAAGCGUGGGGAUCGAACAGGAUUAGAUACCCUUGUAGUC